Molecule: ribosomal RNA, 229 nt
Filed under: uncultured bacterium
Lineage: Bacteria
Description: partial 16S ribosomal RNA
Rfam family: Bacterial small subunit ribosomal RNA
Source: RNAcentral
UCCGUAGGCGGGCUAAUAAGUCAGGGGUGAAAUCCCACAGCUCGACUGUGGAACUGCCUUUGAUACUGUUAGUCUUGAGUUAUAUGGAAGUAGAUAGAAUGUGUAGUGUAGCGGUGAAAUGCAUAGAGAUUACACAGAAUACCGAUUGCGAAGGCAGUCUACUACGUAUAUACUGACGCUAAUGGACGAAAGCGUGGGGAGCGAACAGGAUUAGAUACCCUGGUAGUCC